GACGAACGCUGGCGGCGUGCCAACACCUUGAAGAAGGCUGAGUGGUAAUUUCAAAUCUAGUGGCGAACGGGUGAGUAACGCGUAGACAACCUACCUCUUAGAUGGGGACAACAUCGCGAAAGCGGUGCUAAUACCGAAUGAAGUGACUUCCCUGCAUGGGAGAGAUACUAAAGGUGGCCUCUAUUUAUAAGCUACCACUGAGAGAUGGGUCUGCGUCUGAUUAGCUAGUUGGCGGGGUAACGGCCCACCAAGGCGACGAUCAGUAGCCGGUCUGAGAGGAUGAACGGCCACAUUGGGACUGAGACACGGCCCAAACUCCUACGGGAGGCAGCAGUGGGGAAUCUUCCGCAAUGGACGAAAGUCUGACGGAGCAACGCCGCGUGAGUGAAGAAGGUUUUCGGAUCGUAAAGCUCUGUUGUUUGAGACGAAUGUGCCUGUUUCGAAUAGGGAUAGGUAAUGACGGUAUUAAACGAGAAAGCCACGGCUAACUACGUGCCAGCAGCCGCCGCAG
RNAcentral lists this ribosomal RNA (511 nucleotides) under uncultured bacterium. Its description in RNAcentral is "partial 16S ribosomal RNA". It matches the Rfam family "Bacterial small subunit ribosomal RNA", at positions 28 to 523 of the family's 1533-position model. The record is from RNAcentral.